This 471-nucleotide ribosomal RNA is filed under the name uncultured bacterium. RNAcentral describes it as "bacterial SSU rRNA". It matches the Rfam family "Bacterial small subunit ribosomal RNA", at positions 30 to 517 of the family's 1533-position model. The record is from RNAcentral.
AUUGAACGCUGGCGGCAUGCCUUACACAUGCAAGUCGAACGGCAGCACGGGAGCUUGCUCCUGGUGGCGAGUGGCGAACGGGUGAGUAAUAUAUCGGAACGUACCCUAGAGUGGGGAUAACGCAGCGAAAGUUGCGCUAAUACCGCAUACGAUCUACGGAUGAAAGUGGGGGAUCGCAAGACCUCAUGCUCAUGGAGCGGCCGAUAUCUGAUUAGCUAGUUGGUGGGGUAAAGGCCUACCAAGGCAUCGAUCAGUAGCUGGUCUGAGAGGACGACCAGCCACACUGGAACUGAGACACGGUCCAGACUCCUACGGGAGGCAGCAGUGGGGGAAUUUUUGGGACAAUGGGCGAAAGCCUGAUCCAGCAAUGCCGCGUGAGUGAUGAAGGCCUAGGUUGUAAAGCUCUUUUUACCCGAGAUGAUAAUGACAGUAUCGGAGAAUAAGCUCCGGCUAACUCCGUGCCAGCAGCCG